This 200-nucleotide ribosomal RNA is filed under the name uncultured archaeon. Its description in RNAcentral is "partial 16S ribosomal RNA". It matches the Rfam family "Archaeal small subunit ribosomal RNA", at positions 477 to 677 of the family's 1478-position model. The record is from RNAcentral.
CAGCACCUCAAGUGGUCAGGAGGAUUAUUGGGCCUAAAGCAUCCGUAGCCUGUUCUAUAAGUUUGCGGUUAAAUCUAUACGCUCAACGUAUAGGCUGCCGUAAAUACUGUAGAACUAGGGAGUGGGAGAGGUAGACGGUACUCGGUAGGAAGGGGUAAAAUCCUUUGAUCUAUCGAUGACCACCUGUGGCGAAGGCGGUC